AACGAACGCUAGCGGCAUGCCUAACACAUGCAAGUCGAACGAGACCUUCGGGUCUAUUGGCGCACGGGUGCGUAACGCGUGGGAACCUGCCCUUAGGUUCGCUAUAACUCCCCUAAAGGGGUGCUAAUACCGGAUAAACUCUUCAGACCAAAGAUUGAUCGCCUUUUGGUGUGCCCGCGCGGGGAUAGCUAGUUGGUAUGGGAAAAGCAUACCAAGGAGUCGAUCGAUCGCUGGCUUGAGAAGAGGAACAGCCACACUGGGACUGAGACACGGCGCAGACUCGUACGGGAGGCAGCAGUGGGGAAUCUUGGACAAUGGACGAAAGCGUGAUACAGCUAUGCUGCGUGAGUGAUGAAGGCCUUAGGGUUGUAAAGCUCUUUUAACCGGGAUGAUAAUGACAGUACCGGGAGAAUAAGCGCCGGCUAACUCCGUG
RNAcentral lists this ribosomal RNA (433 nucleotides) under uncultured bacterium. RNAcentral's name for it is "partial 16S ribosomal RNA". It matches the Rfam family "Bacterial small subunit ribosomal RNA", at positions 29 to 507 of the family's 1533-position model. The record is from RNAcentral.